Molecule: unclassified non-coding RNA, 537 nt
Filed under: uncultured Xerocomus
Lineage: Eukaryota; Fungi; Basidiomycota; Agaricomycetes; Boletales; Boletaceae
Description: sequence contains ITS1, 5.8S rRNA gene and ITS2
Rfam family: 5.8S ribosomal RNA (bases 141-295)
Source: RNAcentral
AUGUGCACGUCCAACCUUUUCUAUUACACACCCGUGCACCUUUUGUAGGUCCUCGAAAGAGGAUCUAUGUAUUUCAUCAUCACACCUAUCGUAUGUCUAGAAUGUCAUCGUCGACCACUGGGCGGCGAAAUAAAUAAUACAACUUUCAGCAACGGAUCUCUUGGCUCUCGCAUCGAUGAAGAACGCAGCGAAUUGCGAUAAGUAAUGUGAAUUGCAGAUUUUCAGUGAAUCAUCGAAUCUUUGAACGCACCUUGCGCUCCUUGGUAUUCCGAGGAGCAUGCCUGUUUGAGUGUCAUUAAAUUCUCAACCAUGACUUUGUUGACAUGGCUUGGAGUUGGGGGUUGCUGGCUUGUUUGUCAGCUCUCCUGAAAUACAUUAGCGGUGGACAAGCAAGGCCUUCCGACGUGAUAAUGAUCGUCGUGGGGCGGAGCAUCAACGUCUGUCUGCUUCUAAAUCCCAGAUGCCUUAGCUAGACAUCAUUUCGAACGCUUGACCUCAAAUCAGGUAGGACUACCCGCUGAACUUAAGCAUAUCAAU